This is a long non-coding RNA of Corvus hawaiiensis (hawaiian crow), 2011 nucleotides long. RefSeq lists it as uncharacterized. NCBI's taxonomy places the organism in Eukaryota, Metazoa, Chordata, Aves, Passeriformes, Corvidae. The transcript is spliced from 2 exons. The record is from RefSeq and is a predicted model, not a curated record.
ACCAUUACUUGUUUUUUGGUAUUACAUUUGACCAAUUAAUAUCAGAAUUUACAUUUAAUUUAACAGUGUACGUGCAAGAAAGAAACAAACUGAAGCAGCAGGUACACUUUCAAGGUGCUUUUGGACAAGAGAAGAUAUGAGCCACCUUCCUUCCUCAGUCACUGUCAUGUUUACGGUGGUUGAGGCUCCUCCCACCAAGUUAACGGCAGAAACUCGGCGAUGUCUUUGCUCCAUGGACUGGCCAUUGAUAUGAAUGGAGAAGAUUUCUGUCUUGGAACUCAUUCCUAUCAAGUGCCAGCUAAUGUUGUCAUAUGCACAAGCCUCUAAAUCUGAAAGAGACAGGAGAGUAGGGUUCACAAUACAGGCAAAUCAUGCAAGUUCCCUAUGCACCCUAGGUUUGAAGUGAAUCUUCACUGAAAACAUUAAAAAAAUUGCUGUGAUUGAUGUUUGCAACAAGAGGAAGUUUCAGAAGCGUGUAAAUGGAACAGAUACCAAAAUCCUGCAUGUCAGUGGAAGAUAGGCGUUUAAAUAUUACCUGCAAGUGACAAACACUUACAAUGAGCUGGCAAAAAAAGGAAAAGUAGCAAGUGCCUUCUUUUGGAAAGCUGACCUGUCCUUGCUUGGGGAGUGAGGGGAAAGCAGGACAGGAAGGGAGAAGAACAAAGCAAGGAUCUAAGCUAAAGAAUUAUGUGGUACCUAGUGACAGUAACUACCUUCUCCAAUAUUUGCUUAAAAAAAUCCCCGCUUAAGACAACCUUUUUUAUUUGCUCAAUGGAUGGGAGAGAGAUAUGAAAGUUGUUCCUUAGUAGAACAAGGGAAAAGCACUAGCAACAGAAUAGCCCCACCACCAUCUUCCUAGUCUUCUGACUUAAUUGAGUAUUUUAAUGAUAACUGACUUUCCACUUUCGGGAAGUUUUUCACCCAGUAUGUUCUAUAUGCUGUAGAACCAACAAUUCACUUAAUCAAAUCACUCUCUCGCCAUCAGCUUAUUAAAAAAAUGAGGAACCUAUUAUGUCCUUUAUUUUAAGUUAGGAAUCUUUUUCUUCAAGCAGAAGUCUUCCUAGAAUCAAUCUCAUUGUUCCUUUCAGUAAUUUGGCAUGACUUCCUUUCAGCAGCACAGUUUUUCUUCCAGAAUUUAGAUGCUCACAGACACAUUCUAAAAAAGGCUGUAUCCCAUUUCUCCACAUUCCCAUUCUUGUGCAUGAAAAGCAACUAAAGGUAAUAUUCAGUGUUCAUAAAUGUUAAUUUAAUUUCACAUAAGCCUGAAUGGUACCUGGUAACGUUCCAUCAGUAUAGCCAUUAAUUGUGUACUUGACCGAUGCUGAUCUUUGCCAACUCUUGUUUUCAUCAAACACACCAAACAUCAGUACAUAUUCCCUGUCAAAAUGUUUCUGUGACCCAUCCUCAUUUAGACUUCCUAUGAAGGAGAAACAACAGGUCUUAAUUUGAAGCAGAAAUAAAGCAGAUUUCACAUCCAUGCAGUUGCAUUAAUGUACAUUUAAGGAGCUUGUUUCACCUGUUAGCAUGUACUGGCUGAGCCUGAUCAAAACAAAGCCUUAAGAAUGCUCAUAAUGUGAUUUUAUUUCUGAAAGUACUUUUGGAUUGGCUAACCACCAAAUCAAAAGUCUGAAGUAUUCCAGAGAAGAUGAACAUCACACAACGAAUUGUCUCAGACAAUUUCUGGCAAUGUGUUACACAGAUCACCUAAAUGAAGGGGAGUGUCAAACACCUUCUGUUCACAACCAGGUGCUGCCCUCGCUUUUCAGACUGUGAGGCAAGGAGAAGAGCGAUGGCAGAGUCACCAGCAGUGUGAACAGCACCUUUUCAAGCACUGCACUGAGGUCAUCAGCACCUUUAAAAAGCUUAAAACCGACCACUCAGCAAACAACACUUACACACAAAAGACUUCAACAGACACUGCUGCACUGGAUCAGUUACAAGAAACUGUCCUGGUUGAUUUUGUGAUACAGAUGCAAUUUCUGUUGAGGAAAAAUUCAUUCUGGACAUGCUA